Molecule: ribosomal RNA, 1155 nt
Filed under: Triticum aestivum (bread wheat)
Lineage: Eukaryota; Viridiplantae; Streptophyta; Magnoliopsida; Poales; Poaceae
Description: partial small subunit ribosomal RNA
Source: RNAcentral
AUGGUGGUCAGCGGCGCGCGCUGCGCCGCGGUGCUAUUGCUCGCCUUCGCGGCUGCCCGAGCUGUCCCCGACGUAGACGGCCCGCUGCUGAACGGCAACUUCGAGUACCAGCCGAACAGGUCGCAGAUGAACGGCACGAGGGUGACGGGCGCGCACGCCAUCCCCUACUGGAAGGCCACCGGCCCCGUGGAGUACGUCGAGUCUGGGACGGACCGGCCGGGCGACGGCAUGGUCCUGGUGGUGCCGGAGGGCGCGCACGCCGUGCGCCUCGGCAGCGGCGCCUCUGUCCGGCAGCAGCUCAGCCUCACCCGCGGCGCCUGCUACUCCGUCACCUUCAGCGCCGCGCGCACCUGCGGCCAGUCCGAGCGCCUCCGCCUCUCCGUCGUCCCCGUCGACGCCGCCGACGCGCCCGGCCGCGAGCUGCCCAUCCAGACCGUGUACAGCGCCAGCGGCUGGGACUCGUACGCCUGGGCCUUCCAUGCCGAGCGCGGCGUCGUCACGCUCGUCAUCCACCACGGCGACGACGGCGACGCGGAAGACCCCGCCUGCGGGCCCCUGGUCGACGCCGUCGCCAUCAAGACCCUCCACCCUGCCGCCCAGGCCGCCGGCGGCAACCUGCUGAGGAAUGGGGGCUUCGAGGAGGGGCCGUACGUCGUCCCGGGGUCGACGUGCGGGGUGCUGGUGCCGCCCAUGGACGAGGACGCCGUGUCGCCGCUGCCCGGGUGGAUGGUCAUGUCCUACUCCAAGGCGGCCAAGUACGUCGACGCGGCGCGCCACGCGGUGCCCGGCGGGUCGCGCGCCGUGGAGCUGGUGGCCGGCGUGGAGGCGGCGCUGGUGCAGGAGGUGGACACCGUGCCGGGGAGCGCGUGCCGGAUGGAGUUCUCCGUCGGGGACGCCGGGGACGGGUGCGUGGCGUGCGGGCCGGAGCUGCAGCCCAUGCGCGUGGUGGCGGCGGCCACGGGGGCGCAGGGGACCGCCACCGUGGAGUACCAUUCCCGGGGCACGGGCGGGCACGCGCGCGGCGAGCUGGCGUUCACGGCGGAGGGGAGCCGCACGCGGGUGGUGCUGUAUAGCUCCGGUUACCACACCAUGUCCGACGGCAGCGGCUCGCUCUGCGGGCCGGUCGUCGACGACGUCUCGCUCGUCUGCGCUUAG